CCACCCUUAUAUCCCCCUCAUCUCUCAAACACUCCCAAGCCCCUCUGAAACCCUAGCCGCCUCCGGUCACUUUCUGACCUCUCUUCACCGGAGACCAUGGAUUUCCAGGCUUUAUGCUACCUGUACUCACCCUUCAAUCCCUUCUACGACCCUUUUGUUCGAGGAUUGAAACCCUAUUGUGAAGACCGCUGUGUCAGAGGUCCACUGACUUGAGUUCUACGACCAUAUCAGGUCUCUCUCUGGUGAGUCUUAAUGUUGAGAGUCCGUUAUCGAUUCAAAAGCAGUCCGUUCCAGGCUUUCUCGUUCGCUAG
Molecule: long non-coding RNA, 311 nt
Filed under: Nicotiana benthamiana
Lineage: Eukaryota; Viridiplantae; Streptophyta; Magnoliopsida; Solanales; Solanaceae
Description: long non-coding RNA (NBEN_LNC022773)
Source: RNAcentral